RNAcentral lists this ribosomal RNA (446 nucleotides) under uncultured bacterium. Its description in RNAcentral is "partial 16S ribosomal RNA". It matches the Rfam family "Bacterial small subunit ribosomal RNA", at positions 338 to 795 of the family's 1533-position model. The record is from RNAcentral.
CCUACGGGUGGCUGCAGUCGAGAAUCAUUCACAAUGGGGGAAACCCUGAUGGUGCGACGCCGCGUGGAGGAAUGAAGGUCUUCGGAUUGUAAACCCCUGUCAUGUGGGAGCAGAUUAAAAAGAUAAUACCCCAAGAGGAAGAGGCGACUAACUCUGUGCAAGCAGCCGCGGUAAUACAGAGGUCUCAAGCGUUGUUCGGAGUCACUGGGCGUAAAGCGUGCGUAGGCUGUUUCGUAAGUCGCGUGUGAAAGGCGCGGGCUCAACCAGCGGACGGCAGAUGAUACUGCGAGACUAGAGUAAUGGAGGGGGAACCAGAAUUCUCGGUGUAGCAGUGAAAUGCGUAGAGAUCGAGAGGAACACUCGUGGCGAAGGCGGGUUCCUGGACAUGAACUGACGCUGAGGCACGAAGGCCAGGGGAGCGAAAGGGAUUAGAUACCCGAGUAGUC